Molecule: ribosomal RNA, 390 nt
Filed under: uncultured bacterium
Lineage: Bacteria
Description: bacterial SSU rRNA
Rfam family: Bacterial small subunit ribosomal RNA
Source: RNAcentral
AUUGAACGCUGGCGGCAUGCCUUACACAUGCAAGUCGAACGGCAGCACGGGUGCUUGCACCUGGUGGCGAGUGGCGAACGGGUGAGUAAUACAUCGGAACGUACCUUAUCGUGGGGGAUAACGCAGCGAAAGCUGUGCUAAUACCGCAUACGCCCUGAGGGGGAAAGCGGGGGGAUCGAAAGACCUCGCGCGAUUAGAGCGGCCGAUGCCUGAUUAGCUUGUUGGUGGGGUAAAAGCCCACCAAGGCGACGAUCAGUAGCUGGUCUGAGAGGACGAUCAGCCACACUGGGACUGAGACACGGCCCAGACUCCUACGGGAGGCAGCAGUGGGGAAUUUUGGACAAUGGGGGAAACCCUGAUCCAGCAAUGCCGCGUGAGUGAAGAAGGCCU